Molecule: long non-coding RNA, 225 nt
Filed under: Elaeis guineensis (African oil palm)
Lineage: Eukaryota; Viridiplantae; Streptophyta; Magnoliopsida; Arecales; Arecaceae
Description: long non-coding RNA (EGUI_LNC073255)
Source: RNAcentral
AUAGACUAUGGAUUUAGCUUCUCAAAUUUUAUAGGACUACUCUUUUCUAUCAAGAUCAAUAGAUCUUAUCUAGAUGUACAUGUCGCUAGCACAACUCAACCAACUGAAGCCAACAUCCACUAUAAAAAUUCAUAAUCGAGUUAAUGUUUAUGUGUAGUCAAACUAUAGCAAUCUUACUGUGAACAAUUGUGAUACCGUAGGUCAAAAGACCAGUCACACAACUAC